Molecule: long non-coding RNA, 5304 nt
Organism: Pogoniulus pusillus (Red-fronted tinkerbird)
Lineage: Eukaryota; Metazoa; Chordata; Aves; Piciformes; Lybiidae
Exons: 4
Source: RefSeq, a predicted model, not a curated record
AGGCGUGGCCUUGCGGUCCGGCCGGGCCCGGGCUGUAAGCAUCGGGGCUCCGCUGCCCCCCCAGCGCCACGGCGGGCAGGGCCCGGCCGCCCCCGCCCGCCCUCUCCGGCCGGCACCGCGCCGAGGCCGACUGAGGUGCAUUUCACUGCCUUUUGCCACCAAAGGCCAUCCUCUGCCAGGAGAAGAUCCCAGAGUCAGCCUCAGCAGCAGCUGGAUGAGGAGGAAGAUGAUGAUGGUUCCAUUCAGUCCAGAGGUGAUUUUUCUGCUGAGGGAGGAGCUGCCUAGGAGCAGGAGCAGAGCCAGGAGGGAGCUGAAGCAGCCAACAGCUCACAAAAGCAUCCACAAAGAGAAGCCAGGAAACUGCCACUGCAAAGAGCUCUCUGCCCACCCAACCUUCAGGCCCUGAGCAGCAAGGAGACUUGCCAGGCUGGUGGUGGGUCCAUUCUGUGCCUGGAACUGUACAGGAGGUGGUCCAUCUGUCCACUGAAAGAUAACAAAGAGCAUGAAAAUCCUACAGCUGCUGUCCCAAAGAGAGGAGGAAACUUCCUUUGGAUCAUUUGCUACCUCCAGAAGAUUAAAUGGUUUCCAGCAGGAGAAGUUGUGUGGCAGCUUUGGCUCUGGUUUAAGUGGUGUGGGGGCUCUCAAUGCUGUGCUCAUCAUUCCAAACCUGGUUGGUUUCUCUGUUUGGAUCAUGGGGAAAGCAUUUCCUGCCCUGACAGGUAAACUUCCAACUGUCUGAGCAUAGGAAAAGGAAGCUGCAGGAAGCAGAGAUUCAGCUUUGGAUGUGUCUGAGCCAUGAAGCACUGAGCUGCAGUUCCCAGAGCUCCUCGCUCAGCCCUUGGGCUCAAGCAUCUUCCUCUGCCCUCAGUCAAAACUCUUCCUGAUUUAGGGUAGGGUGUCCCUGCCUGUGGCAGGGGGGUGGAACUGGAUGAUCCUUGUGGUCCCUUCCAGCCCUGACUGAUUCUAGGAGUCUUCUGCAAGUGAGGAGGUUUAGUUUUUGGCUCUUAAUCCUCUUCCCCACUCCAGCAGAGACACAAAAUGGAAAGGAAGGAGAGGAAAGGGGAAGGAGGUCCCAUGGAUGGAGCAGCCUGGGGUGAGUCUUUCAGCAUGGGCUGAAUCCCAAACACCUUCACCCUCACCAGUCCUGGGAGUGAAGGCAGCAAACAGCCUCUUCUUGUUGCCUUCUCCCCACAAGGUGCUGUUGGGAGCUCAGAGCAUCCUGCACUCUCUCAUGGACAUGGAAAUGAUCUUAAGGUCUUGCUGAGCUGCAGCUUAGGAAACCAUUCAGCACUUUCAAAACAGAGUUAAAGAGUAGUUCUGGAUGGGCAGGGCCAGCAACAAAGUCCAAAGUGAGCUGCACUUUAAGGCUCUACAGCCAUCAGCUGCUGCACUGACUGCAAGUUCAGCUUUAGAGAUAAGCAGGAUUUAAAAAGCCAAACUUAGGGAUGCUAAAAUGAUCAAGGAAAUUCUACUUGCAGCAGUGGAAAACAAAGCUUACCCCACCAGGAGUCAAACUGAGUGACCCCAACACUAAAAUUAACCCUGAGAGCACAGCAAGUGUCUGCCAAGAGCUGUCACCAAACUGAUUACCUGCUCCAAAAGCCAUUUUCAGACACAGGCAGCUCUUGGAGUACCAAGAAAAGGCUUCUAAGAGGCCUUACCCCACCAAGGCAGAGCUUUUACCCCCCCAAAGAAACCCUCACAGAGGGAGUUAAUUAAUUGAGUCAUUUCCUUUUCCUGUUAUCAGCCCAGUUUAGGCACUUAGAAGCAGCCAGAAGUUUAGCAGCUCAGCAGCAGCAGAAAGGGGAAGCAAAGCACCUUGAGCUUUGCCUCCAAACUGCUGCCCAGCUGGGAGCUGAGGAUCUCUUACCGUGAUGAGAUUGUGUUCUGGAAGACUGCAGGCUUCAAUGUGGUCCUGGAGGAGCUGCUGGGAGAAGUUUUGGUGCAUCUGUGCUGCCUCAUGUGCAUCCAUGGCAUUGCCACAGGCUUUGUUCAGGUCUGCAAGAGAAGGGCCUCAGUGUGCUCACCCAGGAACACCAGCUGAGCUUGAUGCCAGCUGGCCAGCUCCCACCUGAAAAGCCUGUUUUGUUUCCUCUCAUGACUCACUCCAACAGCCAAAGUCCUGUCACUGCUGAGAGAACCCCCAAGAGAAGCAGAAGGACACAGGCUGGGGAAGCCUCCCCCUUUUUCCAAGGGGAUUUGGGGUCAGAUAUGGAAUUAACUUUGGGUUCCACCUCUUAAAACUGAGGUUACAGCAGCUCUGAAAGGAGGAAGCCAGCUCCUGGCUCCCAGGAAAGCACCACAGCAGCUGGAGCUGUGUCUUUUGGGCUCCCAGCACCAUCUAGUGGGAGCAGGCACUGGCAGCAGGCACAGACUCCAGCUGCUCAGUGAGCAAUGGAUUGAAGCUAGAAGGGAGGUUGAGAAUGGAGAGCAGGAAGAAAUUCUUGCCAGUGAAGGGCAGGGAGACAUCGGCACAGGCUGCCCAGGGAGGCUGUGGAUGUCCCCUCCCUGGGCGUGUUCAAGGCCGGGUUGAAUGAGGCCUUCAGCAGCCUGGACUGGUGGAGGUGUUGGAGCUGGAUGAGUUUUGAGGUCCUUUCCAACCCAACUCAGCCUCUUGGGCACCAGACCCUUCAGAUCCAGCCCCUCUGGGGCACCAGACCCUUCAGAUCCAGCCCCUCUUAGAGCUCCAGCCCCAAGCCCUCUUAGAGCUCCAGACCCUUCAGAUCCAGCCUCUCUGGGGCACCAGACCCUUCAGAUCCAGGCCCCUCUGGGGCACCAGACCCUUCAGAUCCAGGCCCCUCUGGGGCACCAGACCCUUCAGAUCCAGCCCCUCUGGGGCACCAGACCCUUCAGAUCCAGGCCCCUUAGAGCUCCAGACCCUUCAGAUCCAGCCCCUCUGGGGCACCAGACCCUUCAGAUCCAGGCCCCUUAGAGCUCCAGACCCUUCAGAUCCAGCCCCUCUGGGGCGCCAGACCCUUCAGAUCCAGGCCCCUUAGAGCUCCAGACCCUUCAGAUCCAGGCCCUCUUAGAGCUCCAGACCCAGCCCCUCUUAGAGCUCCAGACCCUUCAGAUCCAGGCCCCUUAGAGCUCCAGACCCUUCAGAUCCAGCCCCUCUGGGGCGCCAGACCCUUCAGAUCCAGGCCCCUUAGAGCUCCAGACCCUUCAGAUCCAGGCCCUCUUAGAGCUCCAGACCCAGCCCCUCUUAGAGCUCCAGACCCUUCAGAUCCAGGCCCCUUAGAGCUGCAGACUCUUCAGAUCCAGCCCCUCUUAGAGCUGCAGACCCUUCAAAUCCAGCCCCUCUUAGAGCUGCAGACCCUUACAGGCACCAGACCUUUUAGAUCCAAGACUCUCUUGAACAGUAGAACUUUUCCUGACUCACCUCUCAACAGAGCUGAGGACCAGAGCUGCACAGACAUGUCUGGGAUCUUGCUGGCAAGCUGCAUGGCUGGCACUACCAUGUUAUUGCUUUCCUGGUGAAGAGCAGACAGCAAAGUCAAAUGCAUCCCUGCAGUUCUUAUCUGCCCCCCAAGGAAGGAGCCCAGGAAGGAGCCCAGGAAGGAGCCCAGGAAGGAGCCAAGGAAGGAGCCAAGGAAGGAGCCAAGGAAGGAGCUGUGGAUGCCUCCCCCCUGGAGAUGGUCAAGGCCAGGCUGGAUGAAGCCUUGAGCAAGUUGAGCUGGCGGAGGUCCCCCUGCCCAUGACAGAGGGCUGGAGCAGGAUGAGCUCUGAGGUCCCAUUCCAAGCUAAACCAUCCUGUGCUUCCUUUUCUUUGGCAAGUAAGCAGAAGCUGUGCAGAGGCAGAGCAGAGCUGGAGCAGACUCACCCUGUGGUUCCCUAAGACAUAGAAUAUGUGGCCCAGCAGCACCAGGGAGCAGGCUGUGAGGCGAUUCAAGUCCUCUGCGUUCGACAUCUUCAGCGUCUCCCGCAGGAACCGUCUGCCAGAGGAGAGCAGAAGGUGGGUGAGGAAAACCUCUGCUUUCCCCUCCAGGCUCUCAGAAACAUCCCUGAGAGCCACAGGAAUCCACCCAGCAAAUAGCAGUGCUCAGGAAUAAAAGGAUGACCUUAAACAAAGCUCUUAAUUCCCAUGUCUCAUCUCUCACUUAGCCAAACCGACUGGAGCCAAACGGCUUCCUGGAGCUCUCCUCCUACCCUACACCACGAGUGGGGCUGAACCCAGGAGGAGCAGAGCUGACAGAUUUGAGAGGCAGGCCCCAGGGGGUUCGUUUUGAUCUUAAAAAGCUUGAGUUAGUGACUCCUCUUGUGGUUUUUAUACUCACUUUGCCUCGUUGUAUCUUCCUUGAAAGAAGGAGAAGAGACCUCGGAUGUAGAAAGCUGCUGCCCGGAGACAGUGAGAGCUGCAGGGGAAGCAGAGCACUGAGAGCUUGGCACUGAGGGGGCUGCACCUUGGAGGCCUCCAGGGACCUGCCCCACCAGCACAUCUCCAACACUGCCCUCAACCUGUGGCCACAACUGCUGCCUUCAGGGAAGUUGACUGGAGCAGCUCUGAGGCUGAGAGCCCUGAGGCUGCUGAGCCUGCACAAGAGCAGCCCCAGAAGGGAGCUGAGCAAUGCUCAGCAAGAGCUAAAGGAGCUGUGGGGAGCAAGGGGAUGGUGCCAGACUCUGCUCAGUGGUGCUCAGGGGCAGUGGGCACAAACUGGAAGCCAGGAGGUUCCAGCUGAGCAGGAAGAGAAAGUUCUUUGGUGUGAGGGCCUGGAGCAGGCUGCCCAGAGAGGUUGUGGAGUCUCCUUCUCUGCACAGCUUCCAACCCUCCCUGGGCACUGUGCUCCUGGGCAAGCUGCUGUGGGUGCCCUGCUGGGGUGGGGUUGGACUGGCUGAGCUCCAGAGGUCACUUCCAACCUCCUCCAUGCUGGGAUUCUGGGAUUUUAUUUCCUGCUGGAAAUCCAACAUCACCACCACAGCACCAAGAGGUAGAUAGCUCCUGGAAUUCUCACCUCACAGGGAAAUUAUGGUCUGGAUUUAUCCUUUCCAAUAAGCUGUAGAGCUGCAAAGAGGAAGGAGAGAAGGAAGAUGAUCAGACACAUCCUACCAGUGCACAAAGACACUCAACUUUACUCCACUCUUCAAUCACAGCAGAAACACUUCAGCACCAGGAGUCUCCAAGCUCAUUUGGAGCCUAAAACUCCACUUCCAGACAAGUUCUCAGCCUGUACAAUGCCAAAGGUGGCUCAGAAAGCUCCUGGCUGUUGUAGCUGAGGCAAUAAACAGUGCAGCAGGUUUGCUCUUGAAUUGAAACCAGAAAUUGAAGUGAAUAAAACCCAAACAACACCCAAAGGGUUGAGCUUUUAA